This 24-nucleotide non-coding RNA is filed under the name Cricetulus griseus (Chinese hamster). The record is from RNAcentral. Lineage: Eukaryota; Metazoa; Chordata; Mammalia; Rodentia; Cricetidae.
CCCGGGGGAAGACGUGUUCUGCAG